Molecule: ribosomal RNA, 323 nt
Filed under: uncultured bacterium
Lineage: Bacteria
Description: bacterial SSU rRNA
Rfam family: Bacterial small subunit ribosomal RNA
Source: RNAcentral
GACGAACGCUGGCGGCGUGCUUAACACAUGCAAGUCGAGCGGUAAGGCCCUUUCGGGGGUACACGAGCGGCGAACGGGUGAGUAACACGUGGGUGACCUGCCCUCAGCUCUGGGAUAAGCCUGGGAAACCGGGUCUAAUACUGGAUAUGACUCCAUGACGCAUGUUGUGGGGUGGAAAGCCUUGUGCGGCUGAGGAUGGGCCCGCGGCCUAUCAGCUUGUUGGUGGGGUGANGGCCUACCAAGGCGACGACGGGUAGCCGGCCUGAGAGGGCGACCAGCCACACGGGGACUGAGACACGGCCCCGACUCCUACGGGAGGCAGC